ACCCCUUUGGAAUAAGCAUUCAAGGCACUGUAUUAGUUUAAUAUCUGAUAUGUUCUCUAUAUGAGAACUCUAUAUUAAAUAGAUUUUUGAAAUAGGGAAAGGGAAUAGGAGCUUGCUCCAUCCUUUCCAUGCAUUGACCUGGUAUUGCAGUGUUUCCAGGAAAAAAAAAAAAAAA
RNAcentral lists this small nuclear RNA (175 nucleotides) under Pelusios castaneus (West African mud turtle). RNAcentral describes it as "U2 spliceosomal RNA (ENSPCEG00000019113.1)". It matches the Rfam family "U2 spliceosomal RNA". Rfam says of the family: U2 is a small nuclear RNA (snRNA) component of the spliceosome (involved in pre-mRNA splicing). Complementary binding between U2 snRNA (in an area lying towards the 5' end but 3' to hairpin I) and the branchpoint sequence (BPS) of the intron results the bulging out of an unpaired adenosine, on the BPS, which initiates a nucleophilic attack at the intronic 5' splice site, thus starting the first of two transesterification reactions that mediate splicing. The record is from Rfam by way of RNAcentral. Lineage: Eukaryota; Metazoa; Chordata; Testudines; Pelomedusidae.